GGCAAGGGGGGGAAUGCUUUAACAUGCAAGUCGAACGGUAACAGGUCUUCGGAUGCUGACGAGUGGCGAACGGGUGAGUAAUACAUCGGAACGUGCCUAGUAGUGGGGGAUAACUACUCGAAAGAGUAGCUAAUACCGCAUGAGAUCUACGGAUGAAAGCAGGGGACCUUCGGGCCUUGUGCUACUAGAGCGGCUGAUGGCAGAUUAGGUAGUUGGUGGGGUAAAGGCUUACCAAGCCUGCGAUCUGUAGCUGGUCUGAGAGGACGACCAGCCACACUGGGACUGAGACACGGCCCAGACUCCUACGGGAGGCAGCAGUGGGGAAUUUUGGACAAUGGGCGAAAGCCUGAUCCAGCAAUGCCGCGUGCAGGAUGAAGGCCCUCGGGUUGUAAACUGCUUUUGUACGGAACGAAAAGCCUGGGGCUAAUAUCCCCGGGUCAUGACGGUACCGUAAGAAUAAGCACCGGCUAACUACGUGCCAGCAGCCGCGGUAAUACGUAGGGUGCAAGCGUUAAUCGGAAUUACUGGGCGUAAAGCGUGCGCAGGCGGUUUUGUAAGACAGUGGUGAAAUCCCCGGGCUCAACCUGGGAACUGCCAUUGUGACUGCAAGGCUAGAGUGCGGCAGAGGGGGAUGGAAUUCCGCGUGUAGCAGUGAAAUGCGUAGAUAUGCGGAGGAACACCGAUGGCGAAGGCAAUCCCCUGGGCCUGCACUGACGCUCAUGCACGAAAGCGUGGGGGAGCAAACAGGAUUAGAUACCCUGGUAGUCCACGCCCUAAACGAUGUCAACUGGGUUGUUUGGGU
Molecule: ribosomal RNA, 802 nt
Filed under: bacterium
Lineage: Bacteria
Description: bacterial SSU rRNA
Rfam family: Bacterial small subunit ribosomal RNA
Source: RNAcentral